This 292-nucleotide unclassified non-coding RNA is filed under the name fungal sp. Its description in RNAcentral is "partial contains 5.8S ribosomal RNA, internal transcribed spacer 2, and large subunit ribosomal RNA". The stretch from base 1 to 105 matches the Rfam family "5.8S ribosomal RNA", at positions 50 to 154 of the family's 154-position model. Lineage: Eukaryota; Fungi. The record is from RNAcentral. RNAcentral also lists the same sequence under 2 other names.
GAAAUGCGAUAAGUAAUGUGAAUUGCAGAAUUCAGUGAAUCAUCGAAUCUUUGAACGCACAUUGCGCCCCUUGGUAUUCCGGGGGGCAUGCCUGUUCGAGCGUCAUUAUAACCCCUCAAGCUCAGCUUGGUGUUGGGGCCUGCCGACUGGCAGCCCUUAAAAUCAGUGGCGGCGCCAUCUGGCUCUAAGCGUAGUAAUUUCUCUCGCUAUAGGGUCCCGGUGGACGCUGGCCAGCAACCCCCAACUUUCUAUGGUUGACCUCGGAUCAGGUAGGGAUACCCGCUGAACUUAA